Molecule: ribosomal RNA, 380 nt
Filed under: uncultured eukaryote
Lineage: Eukaryota
Description: partial 18S ribosomal RNA
Rfam family: Eukaryotic small subunit ribosomal RNA
Source: RNAcentral
CAAUAGCGUAUAUUAAAGUUGUUGCGGUUAAAAAGCUCGUAGUUGGAUUUCUGCUGAGAACGACCGGUCCGCCCUUUGGGUGUGUAUCUGGCUCUUUCUUGGCAUCUUCUUGGUGAACGUAGCUGCACUUGACUGUGUGGUGCGGUAUCCAGGACUUUUACUUUGAGGAAAUUAGAGUGUUUCAAGCAGGCUUACGCCUUGAAUACAUUAGCAUGGAAUAAUAAGAUAGGACCUCGGUUCUAUUUUGUUGGUUUCUAGAGCUGAGGUAAUGAUUAAUAGGGAUAGUUGGGGGCAUUCGUAUUUAACUGUCAGAGGUGAAAUUCUUGGGUUUGUUAAAGACGGACUACUGCGAAAGCAUUUGCCAAGGAUGUUUUCAUUGA